GUCAGACUCUGGUCUCCUUCCUGCCUUUGUCUCAGUACUCUGCCCUGCAGCCAAAAUCUAACAGCUGAGGAAUAGCCUCCAGGCUGACGCUCUGAUGGCAGUGGGAUAAUAAAGGCAUGCAUGUGAAUCCAGAUAUGUUGACAGGACAACCGAUACCUAGCGAGAGCACUGGACAGUUUUGGCAUAAGGUCUCUAAACCUCUGUCUGGAACCCGACAGCCCAUGGUGUGUGCCCACUGCUGCAGCCCAC
This is a long non-coding RNA of Mus musculus (house mouse), 249 nucleotides long. RefSeq annotates it as predicted gene, 41773. The transcript is spliced from 3 exons. The record is from RefSeq and is a predicted model, not a curated record. Lineage: Eukaryota; Metazoa; Chordata; Mammalia; Rodentia; Muridae.